CAUCGGUUUUCGUCCGACCAUCGAAGUUAAGCACCGUCGAGACUGGUCAGUACCUAGAUGGGUGACUGCUCGGGAAUACCAGAUGUUGCAAG
Non-coding RNA from Acanthosepion pharaonis, 92 nucleotides. The record is from the annotation of a GenBank genome assembly. Lineage: Eukaryota; Metazoa; Mollusca; Cephalopoda; Sepiida; Sepiidae.